This 221-nucleotide unclassified non-coding RNA is filed under the name Hevea brasiliensis (rubber tree). The record is from RNAcentral. Lineage: Eukaryota; Viridiplantae; Streptophyta; Magnoliopsida; Malpighiales; Euphorbiaceae.
AUUUUUUGAAAGAACAUUAUUAAGUUGGAGUACAUCAAACUCACGACCAUAUUAUAAAAACAAACAAAAAAAAUUAAAAAAGCAUCACUCCAAACAGAUGGAGGAAGCAGCUUAUAGUAAAAAAAAAUUACUUUAAAAUCUCCUACUUGUAGUUUCUCUCUCCCUGAUAUUAACAUAAUUAUCAUCAUCUAUUUGAUGUGAAGAUUCCUACACUACUCUGG